Molecule: ribosomal RNA, 322 nt
Filed under: uncultured bacterium
Lineage: Bacteria
Description: bacterial SSU rRNA
Rfam family: Bacterial small subunit ribosomal RNA
Source: RNAcentral
GAUUAACGCUGGCGGCGUGCCUAACACAUGCAAGUCGAGCGGCAGCGCGGGAGCAAUCCUGGCGGCGAGCGGCGGACGGGUGAGUAAUGCUUGGGAAUCUGCCUGUUAGUGGGGGACAACCCGGGGAAACUCGGGCUAAUACCGCAUACGCACUACGGUGGAAAGCCGGGGACCGCAAGGCCUGGCGCUAACAGAUGAGCCCAAGUCGGAUUAGCUAGUUGGUAGGGUAACGCCUACCAAGGCGACGAUCCGUAACUGGUCUGAGAGGACGACCAGUCACACCGGAACUGAGACACGGUCCGGACUCCUACGGGAGGCAGCA